This 306-nucleotide ribosomal RNA is filed under the name cf. Spionidae sp. DH-2009. RNAcentral's name for it is "SSU rRNA". It matches the Rfam family "Eukaryotic small subunit ribosomal RNA", at positions 1342 to 1664 of the family's 1831-position model. Lineage: Eukaryota; Metazoa; Annelida; Polychaeta; Spionida; Spionidae. The record is from RNAcentral.
UCUAGCCUAUUAAUAGUUCGCCGAUACCCGUCUUCGUCGGCGCUUCAAACUUCUUAGAGGGACAAGUGGCGUUCAGCCACGCGAGAUUGAGCAAUAACAGGUCUGUGAUGCCCUUAGAUGUUCGGGGCCGCACGCGCGCUACACUGAAGGACUCAGCGUGUCUGUUCUCCUGGCCAGAAAUGGUCGGGCAACCCGUUGAACCUCCUUCGUGCUAGGGAUUGGGGCUUGCAAUUCUUCCCCAUGAACGAGGAAUUCCCAGUAAGCGCGAGUCAUCAGCUCGCGUUGAUUACGUCCCUGCCCUUUGUA